UACGGGGAUCUCCGGCGCCGCUACUCAGGGCCAACGCUCUGGGAAGAAGCUUGUCCAGGCCUGUGCCAGUAGUAGGGACAGCUCCAGGUCGCCUCUCAGUUGGGGACAGAGUACCCCAGCUUCUGGGUCCUCAAGGACAGAGAGGGAGAAUUCUGAGGGAUCAUUGGAGGGAACCAGGACCUUCUGGUCAUGACCUUGAAGCUGCCCAAAUGUCCAGGAAAGAGGAAAGUGCUCUUCUCAGUCAAGAGGACCUGAGCUGCUCUUUAUGGGAAUCAGCUGCUUGACUUCCACCCCCUAUAAAAAGGCAUAGAGGAAAGGCGAGGAAAACACACAGUGAGAAGGCAGCCAUCUGCAAGCCAGGAAGCCCUCAUCAGGAAUCAUGUUGCCGACACCUUGAUCUAGGACACCCCAGGUUCCAGAACUAAGAUAUAUAAAUGUCUGCAGUCUCAUCCACCUAGUCUGUGUUUUGUUAUGGCAGCUCAAGGACUCAAAAGGAUCAAUAGUCAGUAUCUGAAAAUAUGAUACAGAGAGUCAAAAGAGGUACAGGAUGGACCUCUGGGAAUGGACACUAUGUAAAGAUAUUCACAUCCCAUAUCACCAAAUGGCAUUUGAAGACUCUGCAAAGGAGGCCUCAAUAAUCAGGUGGACAAAAUGACACACUGCACAAUGUCAGUCGACCUUGUUCCCAGCCAUGCCAGUGUUUGCCCGAUGUGCUCAUGAACAAAGGGACCAUGGUUACAGGCAUGAGGACUGGGCAUGAGCUGGUGGACAUGAUGUCCCCCUUACUAAGGCUGAGCUGGAUGCUGCUGCCACCUAGUGGCUAAUCUGCCAACAGCGGAGAACUACAGAGAGCCCCAGCACCAUUCCUUGGGGGACCACCUCGCCACCUAAUGGCAGAUUGAUUCCAUUGCACCUCUUUCAUCAUGGAUGAGGUACAAAUUCUGGAAAUGGAUUUGCUUUCACUGCUAUCAUUCAUCUUCCCGCACCAACAUCCCUGGACUCUUGGGAUGCCUUAGCUACCAUCAUCGCAUUCCCCACAGCACUGCAUCUGAUUGAGGAACUUAUUCCACAACAAAAGAAGUGCAAUAUGGAAUUAACUGGUCUUAGCACACACCCUAUUGCCCAGAAGCAACUGACCUAAUUAAAAGUGGAGUGGCUUACUGAAGACUCUGUUAUGGCACAAGUUGAGAGAAAAGAAGGCAGGAAGUUUGAAUCACCGGGAUGUCUACUCUCAAGUCUCCCUGCAGUCGGAGUGAACGCAAGCAUCCAGCU
Molecule: long non-coding RNA, 1272 nt
Organism: Pteronotus mesoamericanus
Lineage: Eukaryota; Metazoa; Chordata; Mammalia; Chiroptera; Mormoopidae
Exons: 3
Source: RefSeq, a predicted model, not a curated record